AAUAGAUACCCGGGUAGUCUACGCCGUAAACGAUGGAUGCUAGCUGUUAUCGGUAUCGACCCCGGAUAGUAGCGAAGCUAACGCGUUAAGCAUCCCGCCUGUGGAGUACGGUCGCAAGACUAAAACAUAAAGGAAUUGACGGGGACCCGCACAAGCGGUGGAGCGUGUUGUUUAAUUCGAUGGUAAGCGAAGAACCUUACCCAGGUUUGACAUCCUUGGAAUUUUGCCGAAAGGCAAGAGUGCUUUACUGAGCCAAGUGACAGGUGAUGCAUGGCCGUCGUCAGCUCGUGUCGUGAGAUGUUUGGUUAAGUCCAUUAACGAGCGCAACCCUUGUAGUUAGUUGAAUUUUUCUAGCUAGACUGCCCCGGUAACGGGGAGGAAGGAGGGGAUGAUGUCAGGUCAGUAUUUCCCUUACAUCUGGGGCUACAAACACGCUACAAUGGCCGGUACAAAGGGCAGCCAACCCGCGAGGGGGAGCAAAUCCCAUCAAAGCCGGUCUCAGUUCGGAUAGCAGGCUGAAACUCGCCUGCUUGAAGCUGGAAUCGCUAGGUAAC
Molecule: ribosomal RNA, 554 nt
Filed under: uncultured bacterium
Lineage: Bacteria
Description: bacterial SSU rRNA
Rfam family: Bacterial small subunit ribosomal RNA
Source: RNAcentral